Molecule: unclassified non-coding RNA, 239 nt
Filed under: air metagenome
Description: partial contains small subunit ribosomal RNA, internal transcribed spacer 1, and 5.8S ribosomal RNA
Rfam family: Eukaryotic small subunit ribosomal RNA (bases 1-46)
Source: RNAcentral
AAGUCGUAACAAGGUUUCCGUAGGUGAACCUGCGGAAGGAUCAUUACAGAGUUCAUGCCCUUCGGGGUAGAUCUCCCACCCUUGUGUAUCAUUAUAGAAUGUUGCUUUGGCGGGCCGCGCCUCGUGCGCCUAGAUUCGCGUCUAGCGUGCUCGCCAGAGGACCCCUAAACUCUGAAUAUUAAUGUCGUCUGAGUACUAUUAAAUAGUUAAAACUUUCAACAACGGAUCUCUUGGUUCUG